This 265-nucleotide long non-coding RNA is filed under the name Physcomitrium patens. Its description in RNAcentral is "long non-coding RNA (PPAT_LNC003456)". Lineage: Eukaryota; Viridiplantae; Streptophyta; Bryopsida; Funariales; Funariaceae. The record is from RNAcentral.
AUCAAUGCUACAACUAUUUCUUCUAAAUUCUCUAAUUUUAUCAAAGCUUCUAUAGUGGCCCUUGUCCAAUGACUUUUAGAAUAAUGGUUAGAAGCUUGAAUGACAUCUUUCUUUUCUACAAAUCUUACUCACAAGACAUCCCCAAAAUUUUGUAUUUCAUCUUUUUCAUCUUCAUUGCUUUCUAUUGCUCUUGUUCCUUAUGCAUUUGAUGUCAUAGAGUCUUCUAUAGAUUUUUAUUUUUUCUUUAUUGUAUCAAUAAUAACUU